GAGAGAGUAGUUCAGUUGGUAGAGCGCCAGAUUGUGGUUCUGGUUGUCGAGGGUUCGAGUCCCUUCUCUCUCC
Molecule: transfer RNA, 73 nt
Filed under: Spirochaetaceae bacterium
Lineage: Bacteria; Pseudomonadati; Spirochaetota; Spirochaetia; Spirochaetales; Spirochaetaceae
Also listed under: 1 other name
Description: tRNA-His
Rfam family: tRNA
About the family: Transfer RNA (tRNA) molecules are approximately 80 nucleotides in length. Their secondary structure includes four short double-helical elements and three loops (D, anti-codon, and T loops). Further hydrogen bonds mediate the characteristic L-shaped molecular structure. tRNAs have two regions of fundamental functional importance: the anti-codon, which is responsible for specific mRNA codon recognition, and the 3' end, to which the tRNAs corresponding amino acid is attached (by aminoacyl-tRNA synthetases). tRNAs cope with the degeneracy of the genetic code in two manners: having more than one tRNA (with a specific anti-codon) for a particular amino acid; and 'wobble' base-pairing, i.e. permitting non-standard base-pairing at the 3rd anti-codon position.
Source: RNAcentral